This 1967-nucleotide ribosomal RNA is filed under the name human gut metagenome. RNAcentral's name for it is "bacterial LSU rRNA". It matches the Rfam family "Bacterial large subunit ribosomal RNA", at positions 1 to 1990 of the family's 2925-position model. The record is from RNAcentral.
GAAAGUAAGCAAGGGCAGACGGUGGAUGCCUUGGCUCUCGGAGGCGACGAAGGACGUGAUAAGCUGCGAAAAGCCCGGGGGAGGCGCAAAUAGCCCUUGAUCCCGGGAUAUCCGAAUGGGGCAACCCGGCAGGCUGAAGGCCUGUCAUCCCGUAAGGGAGGCGAACGUGGGGAACUGAAACAUCUAAGUACCCAUAGGAGGAGAAAAUAAACAAUGAUUCCGUAAGUAGUGGCGAGCGAACACGGAAGAGCCCAAACCCAUGUCGUCUAGGCGACACGGGGGUUGUAGGACCACGACGUGGCAAGAUAGAGUCAAGUGGAACGCCUUGGAAAAGGCGGUCAUAGAGGGUGAAAACCCCGUACACGACUGACGAUUGAAGCCUAGUGGCAUCCUGAGUAGCGCGGGGCACGAGAAAUCUUGCGUGAAUUAGCGGGGCCCAUCCCGUAAGGCUAAAUACUCCCGAGAGACCGAUAGCGAACCAGUACCGUGAGGGAAAGGUGAAAAGAACCCCGAGCAGGGGAGUGAAAUAGACCCUGAACCCGUCUGCCUACAAGCGGUCGGAGCGUCGUAAUGACGUGACGGCGUGCCUUUUGCAUAAUGAACCUACGAGUUACCUUCCCCGGCAAGGUUAAGUACCUAAGGUACGGAGCCGAAGCGAAAGCGAGUCUGAACAGGGCGCCAAGUCGGGGGGGGUAGACGCGAAACCGAGUGAUCUACCCUUGGCCAGGUUGAAGGUUGGGUAACACCAACUGGAGGACCGGAUGGGUAAGCGUUGAAAAGCUUUCCAAUGAGCUGAGGGUAGGGGUGAAAGGCUAAUCAAACUCGGAGAUAGCUCGUACUCCCCGAAAUGCAUUUAGGUGCAGCCUCUUUAUAGUAUAUCGUGAGGUAGAGCGACUGAUUGGAUGCGAGGGCUUCACCGCCUAUCAAGUCCAGAUAAACUCCGAAUGCGCGAUAUAUAUUUAAAGGGAGUGAGGGCGCGGGUGCUAAGGUCCGUGUCCGAGAGGAGAAGAAUCCAGACCACCGGCUAAGGCCCCCAAAUGAUCGUUAAGUUGAACUAACGAGGUCGGAUCGCAGAGACAGCUAGGAUGUUGGCUUGGAAGCAGCCAUUCAUUUAAAGAGUGCGUAACAGCUCACUAGUCGAGCGAUCUGGCGUGGAUAAUAAUCGGGCAUAAACGAUCUGCCGAAGCCGUGGAUGUCGCAAGACAUGGUAGGGGAGCAUUCCAUGCCGCGUCGAAGAUGAGGGAUGACCCUUGUUGGAGCGCAUGGAAAAGCAAAUGUAGGUAUGAGUAACGAUAAGGGGGGCGAGAAACCCCCCCGCCGAAAGACCAAGGUUUCCUGAUCAACGCUAAUCGGAUCAGGGUGAGUCGGGACCUAAGGCAAAGCCGAACGGCGCCGCCGAUGGAAGAAUGGGUUAAUAUUCCCAUACUGCCUCAUGGAGUGACGUGGAGACGGAGAAGUGACAGUCCUGCCGGCUGACGGAAUAGCCGGUUGAAGGGUGUAGAUAUUGAUUCCCGUAGGCAAAUCCGCGGGGAGAGUCGAACCUGAGAGUAUACGGAGCGCUUGCGCAACGUAAUAUGGACGUAACCAUGCUCCCGAGAAAAUCCGCUAAACUUAUCCAUGCGGCACCCGUACCGUAAACGGACACACGUGGUCGGGUUGAGAAUACUGAGGCGCUCGAGUGAUUCACGGUUAAGGAACUAGGCAAAUUGACCCUGUAACUUCGGGAUAAAGGGUCCUCGUCGUAAGGCGAGGCGCAGAGAAUAGGUCCAGGCAACUGUUUAACAAAAACACAUGGCUGUGCUAAAUGGAAACAUGAUGUAUACAGCCUGACACCUGCCCGGUGCCGGAAGGUUAAGAGGAGAUGUCAUCCGCGAGGAGAAGCGUUGAAUUGAAGCCCCGGUAAACGGCGGCCGUAACUAUAACGGUCCUAAGGUAGCGAAAUUCCUUGUCGGGUAAGUUCCGACCUG